UGGGGAAUAUUAGGCAAUGGGGGAAACCCGUGACCUAGCGACGCCGCGUGAAGGAUGAAGGUUUUCGGAUUGUAAACUUCUUUGGCAGAGGACGAUAAUGACGGUACUCUGAGAACAAGCCACGGCUAACUACGUGCCAGCAGCCGCGGUAAUACGUAGGUGGCGAGCGUUGUCCGGAUUUACUGGGUGUAAAGGGCGAGUAGGCGGGCUAACAGGUCAGAUGUGAAAUACCGAGGCUCAACUUCGGGGCUGCAUUUGAAACUGUUAGUCUUGAGUGAUGGAGAGGCAGGCGGAAUUCCCAGUGUAGCGGUAAAAUGCAUAGAGAUUGGGAGGAACACCAGUGGCGAAGGCGGCCUGCUGGACAUUAACUGACGCUGAGGAGCGAAAGUGUGGGGAGCAA
This 400-nucleotide ribosomal RNA is filed under the name uncultured Clostridium sp. RNAcentral describes it as "bacterial SSU rRNA". It matches the Rfam family "Bacterial small subunit ribosomal RNA", at positions 355 to 771 of the family's 1533-position model. The record is from RNAcentral. Lineage: Bacteria; Bacillati; Bacillota; Clostridia; Eubacteriales; Clostridiaceae.